GGUAAAUAUGAACUUAAUUAGGGGGUAAAAUGAAAAAGGAUUGAAUGUAAAGGAAAAACAUGCACGCCAAUGAACAUGCCCAGCCCAAAUGUCAGGAAAUGCUAUACCCCUUAUUCUCUGGGUUUGCAAUUCAAUUUUGCAAGGUUUUGAAUUUGAUAUUACCUAGAUGAAUUUCAACAACUGCUAGAUCAAAAACUCAUUUAUUUAUGCACAGAAUGCUACAGUGUUAUUGAAGAAC
RNAcentral lists this unclassified non-coding RNA (238 nucleotides) under Hevea brasiliensis (rubber tree). The record is from RNAcentral. Lineage: Eukaryota; Viridiplantae; Streptophyta; Magnoliopsida; Malpighiales; Euphorbiaceae.